AUGGGCGAUUUCAACCAAAUCUCAAGGGCCAGAGACAAAAACAAUAGAAAUGUCAACCGCAGUCGUAUUAACCGCUUUCGUGAUGCUCUCGACUCAUGCGAACUCAAAGAAAUUCACCUACAGAACAGACGUUUCACUUGGAGUAAUGAGCGGCAAAAUGCCACUUUAUGCAAGCUUGACUCGGUCUUCUGUAAUGCUGAUUGGGACAUGCAUUUUGGAUCGCACGUGCUCCACGCCAUCUCUUCCUCACUCUCAGAUCAUUGUCCUCUCCUCCUCGCUGAUGAUAAAGGGCCAAAGCGACCAAGAUGCUUCAAGUUUGAGAAUUUCUGGACAUGUCUUCCAGGCUUCCGAGACAUCAUGCUCAAAGCUUGGGCGGAUCCAUGCGAGCAUACUAAGCCUUGCCAAUGGCUUUUCUUCAAGCUAAAGCACACAUGA
Molecule: ribosomal RNA, 435 nt
Filed under: Triticum aestivum (bread wheat)
Lineage: Eukaryota; Viridiplantae; Streptophyta; Magnoliopsida; Poales; Poaceae
Description: partial small subunit ribosomal RNA
Source: RNAcentral